UACAGAGGGUGCAAACGUUGCUCGGAAUCAUUGGGCGUAAAGGGCGUGUAGGCGGUCAAGUAAGUGGGAUGUGAAAUCCCUCGGCUCACCCGAGGACCUGCAUCCCAAACUGCUUGGCUUGAGUAUGGGAGAGGAUGAGGGGAUUCCUGGUGUAGCGGUGAAAUGCGUAGAUAUCAGGAGGAACACCCAUUGCGAAGGCAGCUCGCUGGGACGUUACUGACGCUGAGACGCGAAAGCGUGGGGAGCAAACAGG
Molecule: ribosomal RNA, 253 nt
Filed under: uncultured bacterium
Lineage: Bacteria
Description: partial 16S ribosomal RNA
Rfam family: Bacterial small subunit ribosomal RNA
Source: RNAcentral